RNAcentral lists this long non-coding RNA (341 nucleotides) under Ananas comosus (pineapple). RNAcentral's name for it is "long non-coding RNA (ACOM_LNC006180)". Lineage: Eukaryota; Viridiplantae; Streptophyta; Magnoliopsida; Poales; Bromeliaceae. The record is from RNAcentral.
AAACUUCAAAAACCCUCGUGUGGUUUCAUAGUUUCUCAUUUUGCCCCCCUGUAAUUUAAAAUAUAUCAAUUUGUCCUUCUGUGAUUUCAUUUUUCUCUUUUUCUUAUCAAUUUUAUUUUAUUUUUUCUUAAAUCAGUGAUAAAGUUAAAAUUAACGGGUACGAAAGUGAAUAUUUGAUAAAUCUAGAUGGAUAUCUGAAAUUUUUUGUAUAUAAUUUAAUAAAAUAUUAACGAAAAAGCUACCGAAAAGAUAAAAACGAAACCACAGGGGAGCAAAUUAAUACACUUUAAACCACAGGAGGUAAAGUGAGAAACUACCAUAGGGGGGGUUUUUGAAGUUUU